This 1230-nucleotide long non-coding RNA is filed under the name Homo sapiens (human). RNAcentral describes it as "HSALNT0405886". Lineage: Eukaryota; Metazoa; Chordata; Mammalia; Primates; Hominidae. The record is from RNAcentral.
UGCAUCCUUGAGCAGUCCCUUCAUGAAACCACAGCAGAUGUUUCUCAGUCCUUUCAUUUUCUUUUUUCAGAGGAAUUGUAAUCGGCUGCGCUUUAAUUAGGAUCUCCCCGAGGAUACUUCGGCUUUCUUCCACACCCGGGAGUUUGCAGAUUCCCUCUUAGUGCACCAGGCUGAUUAGAUUUCUUAAUUCCCUAAAAUAUGCUGUCUCGAAGCCUAAUACCCCUGUAGGGAUGAGGUCUGUUUCUCUGCCUCUCCUCCCAUUACAGUGCUAAAUCCAGGCAGUGGUCUCCCUUACGGCACUUGCUUCUUCCCUGGCUCCGGACCCCUUUUUUGGAUGGCCUGCAAACCUUCUGACAAAGAAGCAGCCUUGAAAAGACAAAAUGGAUCCAGCAGGGAAUUAGACAGAAAAUAUUUACAGACUCGGUGAACCAAGAGCUGGGUGUUCCGGGCUGUUGAAGAAAAUGGAGUAAUGGGAUAGAAGCUGCUUUCAACUUCCUGCUGAGGACCCAAGGCCAGGAAAAAAGAAAAUUUUUGGAUAUCAGAAAUCAGAACAGGCCUGGAGUUGGGGAAUAAAUUAGGAAAGACACGGACUCAAGCAAAGGAAGACAUCAGAAGUAGAGGUUGGCCAAAGGACAAAACUACAAAGCAGCAAUUGCAGAUUGAAUCAAAUCAUCAGCUACUGGACAUUACAACAUUCACCAUGGAGAGUAACAAUAAUAUGCAUUUAUCAGAACUUCACUAUGUGCCAGGCACAACAUUUUAUGGAAGAUGAACAGGUAGAUAGACAAACAGAUAUGAGUACAUAGCUAGGUAAGUUGGUAGAUAGGUAGCAGGAUUCUCUGUCUCCCUAUUCCUUCUGGUAAGAAGAUAAAAGCUAAUGACUUCAAAAGCAUAACUGUGCAUUCAAUAUUCAUAGAAAGGGUCUGUGUGUGGUAGGAAAGAGACACAGGACAGGCAUGCUUGUCAAUUAAAAGAUUACGGUAGUGUGGUAAACUAGCCUUAUAAGCCUGGGUGAGGAUUAUUGGUGCAGUAUUAACCCUCACAGGAAUAGAUACCCAGUUACGUUUUACUACUCCAGGCUGUUGAAGACAACUGGAAUAAAAAGUCAAGGCAGUGGCCAGAUGCAGUGGCUUAAGCCUGUUAUCCCAGCACUUGGGGAGGCCGAGGUGGGCAGAUCACCAGAGAUCAGGAGUUUGAGACUAGCCUGGCCAACGUGGUGAAACCCCACCU